RNAcentral lists this long non-coding RNA (470 nucleotides) under Amborella trichopoda. Its description in RNAcentral is "long non-coding RNA (ATRI_LNC002187)". Lineage: Eukaryota; Viridiplantae; Streptophyta; Magnoliopsida; Amborellales; Amborellaceae. The record is from RNAcentral.
AGCAAUCAAACUAAGGUGCACCUCAAAAAUUCACUUGAAGAAGUUUCGAUGCCAAAAAACCCUUAAAUCUGAUCAUCUCGACCUUGAGAUCAUGGACGUAAAAAGAAAUGCACUUCAAAUCUUGGAAAUAGUGCAUCUUGUAAUACACUAUUAGAACCGUCAAUUUUCAAGUGUUUAUGGAUUUUCUUGAUUUACACAAUUUUUUGAGCUUUAAAUUUUAUAAUUAGAGUUGAAAAUAAAUUUUUAGGCCAUCAUAAAUAUUUUCAUAUUACUGAAAUGACAUCUUUUGAUACUAUUUGAAAGUGUGUCUCUUUGAUUUUUUAGGGCGUCAGCGUUACACAACCCACACCCUAUAUAUAUAUAUAUAUACAUAUAUUACAUAAGCUAACUGUCAAUGGAGAGCCCUUUUAGAAUGUGAGUCGUUGCUUAUAUUUAGCUUUUUUUCAUUUGGAUCAAGAUAUGGAUUGGGA